CCUACGGGCGGCAGCAGUGGGGAAUAUUGGGCAAUGGGCGCAAGCCUGACCCAGCAACGCCGCGUGAAGGAAGAAGGCUCUCGGGUUGUAAACCUCUUUUGUUAGGGAAACGUAGACGACGGUACCUGACGAAUAAGCCAUGGCUAACUACGUGCCAGCAGCCGCGGUCAUACGUAGGUCGCAAGCGUUGUCCGGAUUUACUGGGUGUAAAGGGCGUGUAGCCGGGUUGACAAGUCAGAUGUGAAAUCCUGCGGCUUAACCGCAGAACUGCAUUUGAAACUGUUGAUCUUGAGUACUGGAGAGGCAGACGGAAUUCGUGGUGUAGCGGUGAAAUGCGUAGAUAUUAGGAGGAACACCAGUGGCGAAGGCGGUCUGCUGGACAGCAACUGACGGUGAGGCGCGAAAGCGUGGGGAUCGAACAGGAUUAGAUACCCUUGUAGUC
Molecule: ribosomal RNA, 442 nt
Filed under: uncultured bacterium
Lineage: Bacteria
Description: partial 16S ribosomal RNA
Rfam family: Bacterial small subunit ribosomal RNA
Source: RNAcentral